Molecule: ribosomal RNA, 491 nt
Filed under: uncultured bacterium
Lineage: Bacteria
Description: partial 16S ribosomal RNA
Rfam family: Bacterial small subunit ribosomal RNA
Source: RNAcentral
AAUGAACGCUGGCUAUAGGCUUAACACAUGCAAGUCGAGCGGAAACGGCAUUAUGUGCUUGCACAUUUUGGACGUCGACCGGCGCACGGGUGAGUAUCUCGUAACCAACCUGCCCUUUACUUGGGAAUACCCCGUAGAAAGACGGCCUAAUACCCGAUGUAAUUCUUUGAUGGCAUCAGAUAUGAAUAAAAGAUUUAUCGGUAAAGGAUGGGGAUGCGUCUGAUUAGCGUGUUGGUGAGGUAACGGCUCACCAAGGCGACGAACAGUAGGGGUUCUGAGGGGAAGUUGCCGGACAGUGGAACUGAGACACGGUCCAGACACUGACGCGAGGCAGCAGUGAGGAAGAGAGGUAAAUGUGGGCAAGCCUGAACCAGGCAAGUAGCGCGCAUGAAGACGGGCCUAUGGGGUGAAAAAUGCUUUUAUACUAUAAUAAUUUUAUGCACGUGAGCGUUAUUGCAGGUAUCGGAGGAAUAAGGACCGGCUAAUUCCUU